This is a non-coding RNA of Pelobates cultripes (western spadefoot toad), 229 nucleotides long. The record is from the annotation of a GenBank genome assembly. NCBI's taxonomy places the organism in Eukaryota, Metazoa, Chordata, Amphibia, Anura, Pelobatidae.
CAAUUAUGGUUCCUUUGAUCGCUCCAUCUGUUACUUGGAUAACUGUGGUAAUUCUAGACCUAAUACACGCCGACGAGCGCUAGGGGACUGCUGCUCCGCUUUUGCACCCAUUUGCAAAAAAAAAUUUCUUGCCCAUCUUCUGUGGGUUAUUGCAUUUUUAAGAUGUAGACUUAUUGUAUCACACUAGCCAUGCACAGGUAGAUUGUCUGGCAUGUUGUUUUGGUGUUUG